GUCCAUGCCGUAAACGUUGGGCGCUAGGUGUGAGGGACAUUCCACGUCCUUUGUGCCGCAGCUAACGCAUUAAGCGCCCCGCCUGGGGAGUACGGCCGCAAGGCUAAAACUCAAAGGAAUUGACGGGGGCCCGCACAAGCGGCGGAGCAUGCGGAUUAAUUCGAUGCAACGCGAAGAACCUUACCUGGAUUUGACAUAUGGAGAAAUCUCCUGGAGACAGGAGGUCCGUAAGGGCUCUAUACAGGUGGUGCAUGGCUGUCGU
RNAcentral lists this ribosomal RNA (262 nucleotides) under uncultured bacterium. RNAcentral's name for it is "partial 16S ribosomal RNA". It matches the Rfam family "Bacterial small subunit ribosomal RNA", at positions 793 to 1055 of the family's 1533-position model. The record is from RNAcentral.